UGCUGCUGUAUCAACAUCAAUUGAUUCAACAGAAGCCUCUAUCUCCUGAGAAUGAGAGGACUGAAGACCUUACAGUGGUGCAAGAAAGUUUCACUCCAAGGGGAAUUGGUUCUCUGCCUAGGAUGUUCAGUGGAAUCAUCUGGAGAGGAUUUCCUUGAACAUCAGACACGGGUGUUGACUGAAGCACCGCCCUUCGAGGACUCAUGCCAGCUCACAGUGUCUAUCCACAAGGCCAGGUAACAGGAGCCUCUUCUCUUUCCACUGCAAAGGAUGUGCCUUCGGAUCAUCUGAAUCAUAAAAAAGAGUCAGAGAGUUCCAGGCACAGACAGAGCUUUUCUCUAAGCUCUCAGCGUGUAACUACUCUACCAAGUUGUUUAACCAUCUCAAUCCAAGAAGAGGAUACAAUCUUUGUAUAAUAGGAGUCCCCAUUCCUCUUUUUCUCUUCAUUGAGAAAAUCCUUAUGUUAAACUGAACCCAUAAUCUGGGUCUUUGACACCCAAGGACAUACUCAGAAUUUAUUUAAUGACUAUGUGAGGUGUUGAGCAAUCAGGUUUAGUCAAUUAGAACAACAACCCACACUGAGAGUAAUAGUCAAGGCUUUAUUCACUUACUGUAAUAGUGCAAGCAAGAGAAGUGCUGGCUUCCUAGGGUUCCAUUUUCAUCAUGGAACAGCAUUGAAAAAUAAAAAUGAAAUCCUAAGCCCCCCAACUGAUGGAACAGACCUCUCCUUGGCCAAGGAGACCCCAGAGAAACCUUGAGCCUGAGUUCCCAACAGUGAUGGGAUGGAAGGGCAGACACACCUCGUUAUGCACCUUCCCUCCCUCACUGACUGCCACUGGGCUUUCCUCCACAAGGGCUUAACAGAAACCAGCCCUUUCAAAGACCCCACCAUGGAUAUCCACCAACAGCCCGACACUGCCCCUCCUUUUUUGCCUGAUAAGUGACCACUGACCCGUGGUUCUGGCCAGUCUACGGAAAUGCACCGUGAGGGUUUUUGUGUCCUCUGUCACACCUUUGGACAUCAGAGGGCUGAAAACUCCACCCUCAGAUGAUACUAAUGCUGACAUUGUUUGAACGUGAGUCCCAUGGAGAGGCAUGAAGCUCCAUUGCACAUGCACAUAUUUUUUCUUUCAUAAAUAUCCAUGACUCCUCCUUGAAUAUGUAUAUUUGACCACCCUGCUCAGCAUGAAUUCCUGUUCCCUUUGCCUCUCCCUCAAAGUGUCUGUUUCUGGCUUCUGGCCAGAGGCUAUGCUUCCCAG
Molecule: long non-coding RNA, 1259 nt
Filed under: Macaca nemestrina (pig-tailed macaque)
Lineage: Eukaryota; Metazoa; Chordata; Mammalia; Primates; Cercopithecidae
Description: lncRNA (ENSMNEG00000045768.1)
Source: RNAcentral